This is a long non-coding RNA of Fundulus heteroclitus (mummichog), 802 nucleotides long. RefSeq lists it as uncharacterized. The record is from RefSeq and is a predicted model, not a curated record. NCBI's taxonomy places the organism in Eukaryota, Metazoa, Chordata, Actinopteri, Cyprinodontiformes, Fundulidae. The transcript is spliced from 4 exons.
AAGAGAAGGGUUACUUCAGGUCACAGACAUUACCAAUGGAUUGUGGUGUCCAACACCCAGCCAAUCCCGUUACGUUUUCUUAGUCACGUGACGUGACGCUUGUGGCGCAGACUGAAGGAAAACCAGCAUCACGGAGGCGGUCAUGGAAGCUAACGCUAACUCAACGGCCCUCGGUUUUAAUGCACAUCGAUACCAACCACAAAUUAAUACGGAUUGAGCGACUGUGGAGAGACCUGUGGGCAGCUGUAACAUGCAUCUAUUAUGAUGUGCUACACUACCUUGAAGCAGAGGGAUACCUCAACAUUUCAAAUGUUGCACACCUCUUCUGUUGCCAAUAUGUCUUCCUGCCAUGCCUGCAGGAUGAUCUGGAUACUUUCCUCAGUGGCUGGGACAAUCACCCACUUCGUACUGAAAAUAACAUGACUCCUAACCAGCUCUGGGUUCUUCGUCGUGGACAUCAUCCAAUUCCUGAACCACCCAGUUCCUUGACAAAAGGUGUACAGCUGCCAGACAUUGAAUGGGAAGACAGUGGGCUCCUUCCUGAAGACGAGUCCAAUGUGACAGUGCCUAGCUCUAAUGUGCAACUGACUGUUGAACAAAUGGCAGCUUUAAGACAUGCAGUAAACCCGAAAGCCACAUCUCUGUCUUUUGGCUCUGAUGUUUACACUUCUGCUGUUCACGUUUGUGAACAGUUUUUUCCUCUCUAAGUUAUCCACAAUUAAAACUGAACAUUUCUGAAAUGUAAAGCAUAAUGCUGUUCAUGUGUUUCUAAAAAUAAAUGUGUUUUUCUUUUCUUUCUACA